GCAUAUUCAUUAAACGUUUCGAUGUUUGGUCACGUGCGGCACAUGGGCUGUACAAGCAACUAGUAAUGCACUAUAGAUUAAACAAAAAAAGUCACCUGUAGUUCGAUACUAAACGAUUCUUCAUUUUAUUAUGGAUUCCCUGUGAUCUCUGAUACGUAACCAGAGGAAAAGAAGCUUAAAAUAUUCCUCAGCUCAAAAUCGGAAUUCUUUCCCCUUCUAAACAAAGAAAUGAUUGGAGCUAGAGUUGUAGGGAGAACUCAUAAAAGAGAACCCCUCAAAAAAUAGGCGUAUGCCACUAAAUGCAGCGCGCACACGGUAUUCUUUAGUAAAAGGCGAAAGAAUAGUUCGCUUUGUGCUCACUGCGUGGCUGCGUGAGUUAUACAAUGUUAAUGCUUCCCUUUUUAUAUUGUUAGAAUGUUUGGUUUUACUCUUUAUUUUCGAUGUGGUAUGGGCAUCACUCUUCUUUCCCUCAAGGCUUCAGUAUUUUCUCUCCUAUCCUCCUUUUGUUCUUCUCCCUCUUCACAAGUCCUGCAAUUACUAUAUGUUUGAAAAUUUACAUGUUCCAAAAUAUAAACAACUUAUGCGGUUCGGCAUGCUUUGUAAUGUAGCUUCAGUUUAUAGGUGUUUUUGAAGAUAUAUAUGCUCACAAGCUGAUCAACGAAAUGCUGCACAGAAUGAUUUGGGCUAACUUAAAGUAAGCUCAUCUUUUGGCAACAGAAAGUACCAAGCUGGAAUAUUUCAACCCUCAAAGUAACUUUCUAACGCUACUCAUUUUGUUGCAGCCAACAUUCUAGCAGAUAAAGUGGGUCCUCUUUUACUAGAACUAUUUC
This 830-nucleotide long non-coding RNA is filed under the name Nicotiana benthamiana. RNAcentral's name for it is "long non-coding RNA (NBEN_LNC035065)". Lineage: Eukaryota; Viridiplantae; Streptophyta; Magnoliopsida; Solanales; Solanaceae. The record is from RNAcentral.